AAUAGAUACCCAGGUAGUCCACGCCGUAAACGAUGGAUACUAGCUGUUGGAGGUAUCGACCCCUUCAGUAGCGAAGCUAACGCGUUAAGUAUCCCGCCUGUGGAGUACGGUCGCAAGACUAAAACAUAAAGGAAUUGACGGGGACCCGCACAAGCGGUGGAUCGUGUUCUUUAAUUCGAUGCUAAACGAAGAACCUUACCAGGGUUUGACAUCCCUUGAAUUAAUCCGAAAGGAUUGAGUGCUUUAUUGAACAAGGUGACAGGUGAUGCAUGGCCGUCGUCAGCUCGUGUCGUGAGAUGUUUGGUUAAGUCCAUCAACGAGCGCAACCCUUGCAAGUAGUUGUAUUUUUCUACUUGGACUGCCCCGGUAACGGGGAGGAAGGAGGGGAUGAUGUCAGGUCAGUAUUUCCCUUACAUCCUGGGCUAGAAACACGAUACAAUGGCUAGUACAAUGCGCAGCGAAGCCGCGAGGUGAAGCAAAUCGCAUCAAAGCUAGUCCCAGUUCGGAUUGGAGGCUGAAACUCGCCUCCAUGAAGUCGG
Molecule: ribosomal RNA, 539 nt
Filed under: uncultured bacterium
Lineage: Bacteria
Description: bacterial SSU rRNA
Rfam family: Bacterial small subunit ribosomal RNA
Source: RNAcentral